GGGGCUGUAGCUCAGCAGUAGAGUGCCUGCCUCACACGUAUGAGGCACUGGGUUCAAUUCUCAGCACCA
This 69-nucleotide transfer RNA is filed under the name Ictidomys tridecemlineatus (thirteen-lined ground squirrel). RNAcentral describes it as "Spermophilus tridecemlineatus (thirteen-lined ground squirrel) tRNA". It matches the Rfam family "tRNA". Rfam says of the family: Transfer RNA (tRNA) molecules are approximately 80 nucleotides in length. Their secondary structure includes four short double-helical elements and three loops (D, anti-codon, and T loops). Further hydrogen bonds mediate the characteristic L-shaped molecular structure. tRNAs have two regions of fundamental functional importance: the anti-codon, which is responsible for specific mRNA codon recognition, and the 3' end, to which the tRNAs corresponding amino acid is attached (by aminoacyl-tRNA synthetases). tRNAs cope with the degeneracy of the genetic code in two manners: having more than one tRNA (with a specific anti-codon) for a particular amino acid; and 'wobble' base-pairing, i.e. permitting non-standard base-pairing at the 3rd anti-codon position. Lineage: Eukaryota; Metazoa; Chordata; Mammalia; Rodentia; Sciuridae. The record is from Rfam by way of RNAcentral.